This is an RNA transcript of Girardinichthys multiradiatus, 1045 nucleotides long. It is a transcript of the gene named zinc finger protein 606-like, with no coding region annotated. The record is from RefSeq and is a predicted model, not a curated record. NCBI's taxonomy places the organism in Eukaryota, Metazoa, Chordata, Actinopteri, Cyprinodontiformes, Goodeidae. The transcript is spliced from 5 exons.
UUCACAUAUAUGGAUGAGAGGUAGGAAGGGACGAACUGGGAACUCAAUGUUGUUUCCCGAAAGCAGCAGCAACCUUGCACCCAGAAAUAGUACCGCGUUGUGGUCUACAAGGCAGUGACAUCAUCAGCACACUCUCAGUCUGGCCUCAGCUGCGGGUCUUCAGACGUCACCUCCAUCUUCUUUGCAACAACAUCGUACAUAUCUGCACCAGAAUCAAACCACCUCCUUCCUCCCAGUGCCGUCCAGCCUGCCCUCCAGGCCUUUCAGCCACAGGUCCUGCCACCCGCCUGCAUCCCGCCAACCUCCAUAGUGGUUCCCAUACUGCCGGUCUACCUCCUGCCACAGCAGAUAAACUGACGCGCCUCGUGCGCCUAUACAUGGUCCAGAAGCUGUUCCACUGUCGCAUCUGCAUGCGCAACUUCAACUGCAGCGACCACCUGACCACGCAUAUUAGCACACACACUGAUGCCGCCAAGAUCCUCCGGUGUGGAGGGUAGCAGGUGUUCCUCAUUUUCAUCAACCUGGAGGAGUAUAAGAAGGUGGAGCUGUCAGCACUCCAUUGCCUGAGUGUUAACCUCUGUGGAAACCUCAAGUCCUGGUGUCAAGUCCCUGCGACCUUCAGCUCUGGCUCUAAGUCCUUAGUUUGGAACCUGCCUCAGCUUAAGUAUUCAAGCCUCAAAAGAAACCCAUUUUGGAUCAAGCUUCGGCUGACAGCUCAAUAUGGACAUCUCCAGGCAAGCGAACCCUGCUCACCCUCUACCAAUUGCUUCACCUAAUCCUCACCAGGUAACAAAAACGCACCCAAAGCAUCAGCAGGGUACUCACUGUCUUCCUGGAUAACUCACCGUUUACGCAGCAGCGUCUAUUCAGUCUUCCCAGGCUCCACAUCAUUCCUCCACUCCAACCACCUUUCAUCAAACAGUAAGCAAAGAUCGUGAUCCAGUUCCCAGUCCCAUUUGUCUCCAGAGUACUUACCUGUCCUCCUUUCCCAUACAGUGCGGUGCCUCUAGUCCCAGUUCCAGUUUAAUACCCACUACCCAUCAAA